AACGAACGCUGGCGGCAUGCCUAACACAUGCAAGUCGAGCGAGACCUUCGGGUCUAGUGGCGCACGGGUGCGUAACCCGUCGGAACCUGCCCUUAGGUUCGGAAUAACUCCCCGAAAGGGGUGCUAAUACCGGAUAAUGUCUUCGGACCAAAGAUUUAUCGCCUUUGGUUGGGCCCGCGUUGGAUUAGCUAGUUGGUAGGGUAAUAGCCUACCAAGGCGACGAUCCAUAGCUGGUCUGAGAGGAUGAUCAGCCACACUGGGACUGAGACACGGCCCAGACUCCUACGGGAGGCAGCAGUGGGGAAUAUUGGACAAUGGGCGAAAGCCUGAUCCAGCAAUGCCGCGUGAGUGAUGAAGGCCUUAGGGUUGUAAAGCUCUUUUACCCGGGAUGAUAAUGACAGUACCGGGAGAAUAAGCUCCGGCUAACUCCGUG
RNAcentral lists this ribosomal RNA (433 nucleotides) under uncultured bacterium. RNAcentral describes it as "partial 16S ribosomal RNA". It matches the Rfam family "Bacterial small subunit ribosomal RNA", at positions 29 to 507 of the family's 1533-position model. The record is from RNAcentral.